RNAcentral lists this ribosomal RNA (903 nucleotides) under Triticum aestivum (bread wheat). Its description in RNAcentral is "partial small subunit ribosomal RNA". The record is from RNAcentral. Lineage: Eukaryota; Viridiplantae; Streptophyta; Magnoliopsida; Poales; Poaceae.
AUGAAAAUUGUACCUUACAGAAAAGGAUUUGGUUGCAAGAAAAAUGACAAGGAUAACUGGGGUAUUGCAGGGGCCACUAAUGAGGUGGCGACCCUGAAGGAGGCGGUGGCCGCGGCCGAACGCAAUGCGGCUGCGGAGCGCACCGAUCGAGAGAAACAGGAGGCGCGGGUGGCGGAGGUACAGCAAGAGCUCCAGGAUCUCGUGAAGAAACACGAGAGCCUGGAGCGUGACUCGAAGACUCGAGAGUUUGAGCUUGCAACGGCUCUUGAGAGUGCCAAAGCCGCUAAGGCCGAAGCCUACAAGGCCCUCCAGGAGAUAGAGGCGGUGAAGAAAAUAGCAGCGGGUAAGGCAUUUUUCAUGCAAAGUAUGCAUGUGAGUGUUAAUUACCUGUUGCUUACCCGAAUUCGGAGCUCUCCAGGAGCGUUCGCAGAUCUUCCCCGCAGCGUGUGCGAUGCUGCCGCAUUCUACCGGGCCGAGGAGGGGAGCUCAACGGAGAAGGUCUUCUGGUCUCAGUAUGCUGAGGCCGGACAUCCGGUGCCCCUGAGCGACCAGCUGAAGCAGCUGGUCGAGCUCCACAAGGCGGCCGAACAGGCCAUGAAGGGCCUCAUAGUUCGGCUGUGGCCUAAGGAGGCUAUACCUGGGAGCUACUUUGGCCUGGUGCGGCGGCUGGUGGACGCGUGCCCGUGGGUUGAAGUUAUCAAGCACUCCGCCUGUAUCGAGGGUGCGUGUCGGGCCCUUGCCCGCGCAAAGGUGCACUGGGGCAGGAUGGAUGCCCAAAAGCUUGUGACGGACCCCCCACCAGAGGGCAAGGAGCAUCGCACGCCUGAGAUGUAUUAUAGGAGUGUGCUGAAGGGCGCCCGCAUUAUUGCGGGUGAGUGCUCCAAAGAAGAAGUUUUUGAGUAG